This 75-nucleotide transfer RNA is filed under the name Lentinula edodes (shiitake mushroom). It matches the Rfam family "tRNA". Rfam says of the family: Transfer RNA (tRNA) molecules are approximately 80 nucleotides in length. The record is from Rfam by way of RNAcentral. Lineage: Eukaryota; Fungi; Basidiomycota; Agaricomycetes; Agaricales; Omphalotaceae.
UCAAUAGCUCAGUGGUAGAGCAUUUGAUAAAUAUGUUAUAUAUUCUCAAAAUGCCCGGGUUCAAAUCCCUGUUGA